CCUACGGGAGGCAGCAGUAGGGAAUAUUGCACAAUGGGGGAAACCCUGAUGCAGCAACGCCGCGUGGAGGAUGAAGGUUUUCGGAUUGUAAACUCCUUUUGUCAGAGAAGAUAAUGACGGUAUCUAACGAAUAAGCACCGGCUAACACCGGGCCAGCAGCCGCGGUAAUACGGAGGGGGCAAGCGUUACUCGGAAUCACUGGGCGUAAAGAGCGCGUAGGCGGGAUGGUAAGUCAGAUGUGAAAUCCUAGGGCUUAACCAUAGAACUGCAUUUGAAACUAUUAUCCUAGAGUAUGGGAGAGGUAAGUGGAAUUCUUGGUGUAGGGGUAAAAUGCGUAGAGAUCAGGAGGAAUACUCAUGGCGAAGGCGGCCUGCUAGAACAUAACUGACGCUGAGGCGCGAAAGCGUGGGGAGCAAACAGGAUUAGAUACCCCAGUAGUC
This 440-nucleotide ribosomal RNA is filed under the name uncultured bacterium. RNAcentral's name for it is "partial 16S ribosomal RNA". It matches the Rfam family "Bacterial small subunit ribosomal RNA", at positions 338 to 795 of the family's 1533-position model. The record is from RNAcentral.